CAGCCGCCACGGUAAUACAGAGGGUGCGAGCGUUAAUCGGAUUUACUGGGCGUAAAGCGUGCGUAGGCGGCUUCUUAAGUCGGAUGUGAAAUCCCUGAGCUUAACUUAGGAAUUGCAUUCGAUACUGGGAAGCUAGAGUAUGGGAGAGGAUGGUAGAAUUCCAGGUGUAGCGGUGAAAUGCGUAGAGAUCUGGAGGAAUACCGAUGGCGAAGGCAGCCAUCUGGCCUAAUACUGACGCUGAGGUACGAAAGCAUGGGGAGCAAACAGGAUUAGAUACCCGAGUAGUCCCUGUCUCUUAUAC
RNAcentral lists this ribosomal RNA (301 nucleotides) under uncultured bacterium. RNAcentral describes it as "partial 16S ribosomal RNA". It matches the Rfam family "Bacterial small subunit ribosomal RNA", at positions 509 to 807 of the family's 1533-position model. The record is from RNAcentral.